Molecule: long non-coding RNA, 17977 nt
Filed under: Nicotiana tabacum (common tobacco)
Lineage: Eukaryota; Viridiplantae; Streptophyta; Magnoliopsida; Solanales; Solanaceae
Description: long non-coding RNA (NTAB_LNC019557)
Source: RNAcentral
UGCCGCCUGUGUUAGGGAUGGGAGGGUAUAGGAACCAGCUUUCUGGAUUUGGUCGUCCAGAUUUUGAUUAUGAUCCUCUCCCUUGUGCUGGUGAAGCUCCAAGUGAUUUCACCAUGAAAAUUCUGUGUUCAGCUGCAAAAAUUGGUGGCGUUAUAGGCAAGGGGGGUUUCAAUGUAAAACAACUGCAGCAGGAAACAGGAGCAAGUAUACAUGUUGAGGAUGUCGUACCCGAAUCUGAUGAAAGAGUUAUUCAUGUCUCCUCUUUGGAGGUAAUGUAUCUCAUUGAGGAAUUCAUAAUAUUAGCAUCCUCAUGAGCAUGUCACCAAGCCAUUUUUUUCCUUCCAGUCUCUGUGGGAUCCCAGAUCACAAACUAUUGAUGCCAUACUUCAACUUCAAAGUAAAACAAGUGAAUUUUCUGACAAAGGAAUUAUCACUACAAGGCUUCUUGUUCCCUCAAAUAAGGUUGGAUGCAUUCUUGGUCAAGGAGGACAGGUUAUCAAUGAGAUGAGGAGGAGGACACAGGCAGAUAUUCGUGUUAUUUCCAAGGAUGAUAAACCCAGAUGCGCAUCUGCAGAUGAAGAACUUGUGCAGGUGAUUUAUCUGUAGUCUGCAAGUUUAGACUAGUCACUUCCGGUUCACAUAUGCCCCACUUUCAGUUUUCUUGUGCAUGUCGGUACUGUUGUUUCCACUAUCUUGUGAGAAAUUUCCAUCUCAAAAUAAUUGAAGUUGUAUUUAUUCAGAUAUCUGGAAGCUUUGGUGUUGCAAAAGAUGCCUUGGUUGAAAUUGCUUCUAGGCUUAGAGCAAGAUCCCUUAGGGAUGUAAAUAGCAAGGCGGAAUCUGCUCCUGUUAGGCCACUUUCUGGAUUUGGUCCUUCAGAGGAUUUCCGAAGUGGAGAUCCACAACGUUCAGGUGUGAUGGAAGCUGGCAGCUCUAGAAGAUAUGAUCAUUUGAAGGUAUGGAAGAUCAUCUAGAAUGUUGCUUCUACUGGAGUUAAUACCUUUAUUUUUUUUAAAUAACUGUGGCGCUUGGACCAAUUCAUACCUUCAUUUCUGAUUGUUUAUAUUUGGUGUUAGGAAAAGUGCGAUAUGUUUGUUGUAACCUCUUUACUAGGAUCAUUUACAAUAGGAGAACACAAAGUCGUAACAACAUUGCACUACCAUAUUACCUGCAGAAUGCAUCAUCUAAUUCAUUUAAAGGGUGGAGAUGUUGUGGUGGUAUGAGGCACCAAUCCCGGACUCAAAAUGAAUUUACUGGAAUUGUACAAUAGACAUGCCUAUGUAGGGAAGCUUCUUAAAUAUUCUUAUGCCUCAUUUCUGUCCCAUUCUUAUAAAGGAAUAGAUUACAACUAUUGGUGUCUAUUAGGGGCAUCAUUGAUGGUAAAGUUGAAUAUCCUCUGUACACUAGUUCACACAAUAUGGUGGGGUGUGGGGUUAGACCGUAUGGAUCUCAAUUUGGCAAAGCGUGAGAUAUGUGGGAGUUGGGGCAGACAGGUGACCAUGGAUGACCAUGCUGCUAAAAUGAUUUUGUUACCCUACCCCCACCUCAGGGGAAAAAAUGGAAAAUGUAAAAAAGGCCUUUUGGCUGCUGUCUGUUAUAUAUGAGUCCUGCACUUGCCAAUGUGAGUCUACCAAAGGCUCGCAUUAAUUUGAUAAAUCUAGCUAAAAGGCACAGUAAGUGGGUCUAGAUACUUGUUGUUCAUCAUUGGUCUGACAGUUUAGUCAAAUAGUUGGAGAAGUCGGGUGUCAACUAUAAUCAGUCAUAUCUAUCAGUGAUCUGUUUUUGGAAAACAUAAGAAGAAAGUUCUUACAACUAUGUGUUAGGGCUGUUCAAACUUUAGGGUGGUUUGUUUUCUUCUAUUUGCACCUUUGAGAGCACUCCAAGUGGCAAAGUUAUAGUGCAAAGAUGAGAUACAUUGCAUUGUGCUACAAUUACUUUGUACAGUAAGAAGAGGUUACUAAAUAAUUUUUCUUGUUAAAUAAGUCAUUCUACCACCUUUUUAGUGAUACUAGAAUAACAAGAAGAUUGUGAUAGAGUACUUUGGUAAUUUUUUCUCUCUAAAUUAUGCACCUAAGCCUCAUUAAGCCUCAGUACCAAACAAGUUGGAGUCGGCUAUGUGAAUCCUCACUUCUUCAUUUAAGCUCAACCAAUGUCAUAAUCAUAUCAUACCAAAUAAAAUAAAAGUGAAAUAUAUAUAUAUAUAUAUAUAUAUAUAUAUAUUAUCGUAGUAAUAAUAAUAAUAAUAUUAGUAGUUCUCUAACAAGUCUAAAACUUAUUCCCAACUAGUAGAUAUCAUGCAUAUGAAUCUUUUUCUUCUAUUGUGUCUUAUCUUUAGCUAAGCUUGCAUUGAUUCCAAGGAUUUGUAGGUCUUUCUAAGACAACUUCCUUCUAUGUGAUUUUAGGCCUACUGGAGCUUUAAGUACAAAAACAACAACUAAGCCACAGUACCAAAUAAGUUGGGGUUGGCUAUGUGAAUCCUCACUUCUUUCAUUUAAGCUCAAUUAAUGUCAUCAUCAUAUCAUAUCAAAUAAAAUAAAAGUGAAAAAUAAGUUUUACCUAUUUUAGUAGAUAUCACGCAUAUGAAUCUUUUUGCUUCUAUUGUGUCUUAUCUUUAGCUAAGCUUGCAUUGAUUCCAAGGAUUUGUAGGUCUUUCUAAGACAACUUCCUUCUAUGUGAUUUUAGGCCUAUCCCGUUCCCUUUAUAACACCUUCACUCACCAUAGUUUCACACCUACGGACUGUGUAUAUGCAGGUUGAUGCAGUACAUGACCAAACCAUCUCAAGCGACCUUCUGCCAUUUUAUCCUCAAUGCGUGUAGUCAUUUCUAAAUUUGUCUAAUCUUUUUUUAUCGCACUUCCAUCUUUGCAUCCGCAUCUCUACAACACUCAUCUUGUGGAUAUGUUGGACUUUGGUGGUCGGGUAUUCAUUACCAUAUAGCAUUGCGGGUCUUGUAGCUCUUCGGUAGAGUUUAUCUUUCACUUUGGUAGGCAUCCUUUUAUCACAUAACAACCCAGUAUACUUAUCCAUUGCAACCAUCCGAUUCUAAUCCUAUGAGUAACAUCUUCAUCUACCAUUCCAUUCUCCGGAAACAACGAGCCUAGAUGUUUAAAUCGUUUUCAUUUUUUCACCACAAUCUCUAGUCUCACCUCAACUUCGCUCUUCUUAUGCUUGCUAAACUUGUAGUACAUGUAUUUAGUCGUACUUCUUCUUAUCCUAAAACCCUUACUCUCGAGGUUGCUUUUGCAUAGUUCAAGCUUUUGGUUGACAACCUCGUAGUUUUGUCAAUUAACACAAUAUCAUCAACAAAUAACAUACACCAUCAAAUAACAUACACCAUGAGAUUUAUAUUGUAUUAUGUUGGUUUGCUCAUCCUUAACUAGGGUAAACUAGUAGGGGCUGAAUGCCGAUCCCUGGUGUAGACCCACUAUUAUGAAAAACUCCUCAGUAUCUCCUACUAAUGUUUUCAGGCUAGUGGCGGCUCUGUCCAUUAUGACAACUCCCUCCGUUUCAAUUGAGAUGACACACUUUCUUUAUUAGUCCGUUCCAAAAAGAAUGGCAAAUUUCUAUAUUUAGAAACAAUUUAACGUUAAACUUUUCAUUAUACCUUCUUUACCCUUAAUGAGAAUCUUUUAUAGCCACACAAAUAUCAUGACCCCACUAAGGUUUUGCCCCUUAAGCUUUUAGCACCACAUGUUUCAAAAGUUUCUUUUAUUUCUUAAAUUUUGUGCGAAGUCAAACUACCUUAUCUAAAUUGAAACAGAGGGAGUAUGUAAUAUGAAUUCCAUCACUCACCAAAGGGCCUUUUGUGGUACUCUAUCAUAUACUUUCUCGAGGUCAAUGAACAAAUGUGUAGAUCUUUCUUCCGUUCGCGAGAAAUUUCCAUCAAUCUUUCUAGCAAGAAUGUAGCCUCCGUUUUAGAUCUAAAGGACAUAAAUCCAAAUUGGUCGUCUGUCACUCUUGUCUUGUUCUUAAGUCUACGUUCUAUCACUUUUUCUCCCAGAUUUUCAUCGUAUGAUUGGGUAUCUCCUUUGUUCUUAUAGAUUGGAAUCAUGAUACUCUUCUUCCACUCAUCGGGCAUCCUACCAUUUUUUAGUAUAGCAUUGGAUAGCUUGGUGAACCAUUCUAAUCCAAAGUCCAAGCUCUCCAAGACACAUUGCAACUCUAUAGGGAUAGUGUCUGGACCACAAGCUUUUCUAAUCCUCAUAUUUUUCAUAGCAUCAUUUACCUCUGUCGACCUAAUUUUACGAGUGUAGCUAAAGUUUUUACCGUGCGCAGACGUGUGGAGCUUUAAGUACAAACGGCAACUAAAACACGAGCUUCAAUGAAGAAAGGAGCUGAUGAAGGAAAAUAAGAAAAAAUACAUGUAAUGCUAGAAAAGAAGGACAAAGUACGAACAACAAUUUUAUGGACCAAAGAAUUUAAAACAACGACCAUCACAACUACUAUGUCUCAAUGUUAGACUAGUUGGGUUGGUUAUAUGAAUCCUCUAUAUUUAUUUUGCUGUAUUUGAGUCCCUUUCAUUUCAGUGCUUAAUAUUUUGUCUUUUAGGAGAAAUUUAUUGUAACUGGGAGUGAACCAAAUAAUUGAAAAACUGCACUUUGAUUAGAAUAUUUGGCGUGAAAAUCAUGCUAAUCAAAUUCAAAAAUUGUUUUAAAUUUCUGAUUCAUAUGCAAGUUUCUUGUUCAGAAUAAUGACUAGUUUUUUUCUUACUAUAUUCUAUUUUCUUAUUCUUCAUUAUUAACAUAUUCAUCCAUGAAAUUCCAUUAAUGAAUUAGUAUAUCGUGUUGUCAUCUAUGUCAAAUGUAGUGUUAGACAAAGCCUAUAGUAGUUGUGUUCCGCACGCUGCAUAAAUGAAAGUGACAAUUGGGCGAGUGAGGCCCCUGGCCUGCACUGAGCUGAACUCUAGGAGUUUAAGCAUGCCUAAACAAGCCUUUAGCAGCAUUGUUCUUUUCUAGCUUGUAGUUGGAUGAGGCAUAAAACAUUAGUGAAGAUUCCUUUCGCUAGUUUAUGAGGCUAUAUAGGUGGUUUUCAAGAUGGGUGUCUUGUUCCGUCAAUUCUUACCAUUUCAGUAUUAUGGAUGAAAGAUUGUACUCUCUCUGGCUGCAAGAUUUCAAGUUAAAUGUCUUGUUUGACCUUUUCAAAGUUUCUAAAGAUAUGAAUAGUGAUUAUCUAUUGAGUUUGGAGACUAAAAUUGGGCAAUGUCUAAUGUAAAAAGGGAAGAGAAUACGAAUUAACAAUAUUUUAUGGAAUCAACUCUUGUCACUACAAGAGGAGCUGCUUAAAUUAGGAGCAAUAAUCUAUAAAACAAGUAAUUAUUUUCUAAUAAUGAAGAAAAUAAAUUUGAGUUUGCUUAUUUUGGAAACAAAGAAAGUAGCCUGCAAAAUCAUGCUAAAAAGCUAUUUCCAAGACAAUUGCUGGAAAAAUGCAUAUUGCCACUAGAAUUGAUUUCGGAAAGAGAGUGGCACCGCACCCAAGAAGAGAGGAAAGGUGCUAGUUGCUAAAGAGGAGGUGUUGGACGCUUGAGAAAGGAGGUGACUGUUGCUGUAAAGAGGACGUGGCAGUCACUAGAAAUAAAGAAAUAAAGAAAAGAAAACACCGACCAGGUCACCAGGCAGGCGGAAGGCCUUCCACCUGUAGAGAAAGCUAUUUGAGUUUCUAGAAAAAUCGUAGAGGCUCUGAUACCAUGUAAAAGACGUAGAGAAACUGAGAAGAGAAUACUUCUUAUUGAAGUGAAUCUGGGUACUACAAGGGGAGCUCCUUAAGUAAAAUAAGAUCAGUGAUUAUUCUAUGCAAACUAUAAAAAGUAGUAAUGAAUGUAAAUAUUCAUAGUUUUGCUUUUUGCGAUUUUGUUGAUGUGAAGCACACCGUCACUACUGAAACAGAUCGAACUAUUCAGAAAACAUCUGUUGCUUUUGCUUUUAGGGUGUUGAAAACUUUUUUGUAUUUUGACCAAAACUAAUAGCCUUAUAAGGAAGGUGGUGAAUUGAUUGUAAUUUCCCCUUGAACAUAUAUUUGGAUGUUGAAUGAGUGACUUGUCACACUAUUCUGGGUUAUGGAAACCAUUUGCUGCCAUGGUCUUUUCAGUUGGACCAGUUGACUAAAGAAGUGUCACAUUCUCUCUGUAGGGUGCUGUUCGUGAAUAUGACCAUCCGAGUUAUCCAGAUCUUCCCAUUGCUACUAGGUACUACCAGUACCCAUUGCUGAAUGCGUUCAUUUUUCCUUGCUUUUUCUGUUGUAGUUCAUCUGAUCACCAUUGUGAACUCUAGAUACCCAAGUAUCAGUAGUCCUCUGGAGGUGAAGUUUCCAGACCAUUCUUUUGGCUCUGCAAAAAGAACAGGAGGGUACAACAUUAAUGAGGUAAAUUACUCUGCCUAGAGCUACAAAGAGGUGGUUUUGUGAGUUAUUCUUUUUGUCUCGUUCUAUCCAUUUUAUUUCCAACUAGAUAGAAGACUCUUACCUUGUGUUAUUCCCUCCAUUGGAGUUUUAAUAGACCUAUUGAGUGAAUUGCUCGAUAUUUUUGCUCUGAUUCCACCUUUUCCUUUUUGCGAUACAGAAUUAUAAAUCUCUCAUGUUCUCCAUUUUUAUGUUAUAAUAUAUUUGGGACAUGCUAGAGAUAAAUAGAAAAAAAUCACACGUCUUUUACAUGUAUUUUCAUAUUCCAGCCUUGAUUCUUUAAAAUGUUGUAUGUCAUAUGUGUUUGAUUUAUCUUAUGGUAAAUUAAUUUCUAAAUAGUGUAGUUCUUUUUUUCUUUAUUGUUGUCUUUUUGUAUUCUGCUAUAUGUAUUAUGAUCUUUACAUAUGCGUAACAGUUGUUUGUAAUGAUAUUCCUGUUAGUGAUAAUUAUAUUUUGAUUCAUGGUGUUAUGUUAGAAAGCCUUAUCCUCUCUCCAUAUCAAUUUAUGUGAUACACUUUUCUUAUUAGUCCGUUCCAAAAAGCAUGACACAUUUUUAUAUUUGGAAACAAGUUAACUUUAUACUUUCCAUUUUACCCUUAAUUACAACAACAAAAAAAAAUCAGUGUUGUCAAAGGCGCGCUUAAAGCGCGCUUAAGCCCUGAAGCGAGGCUCAAAACACGUUGAGCGCUUCGCCUCGCUUUGUGGGCGCUUUAGUGUCACAUCAAAUCUCUAAGGCAUAAUUUUCCUUGCCGAUGAGUGUAAUCCUGAAAAGGCGACCUUAAACAAUUGGUAUUUCACUUUAUCGUGAAUUUUUUUUCAAUUUCUUUUUCCAUAUAUUUGUUAUUCAUGCUUAUAAUGAUUAGUCAUGGACUACAUGCAUAUUUUUACUUUUUUCUCCUGUUGCGCCUUUUUUCAUUAAAGCUCACGCUUUAUUUGCGCUUUGCACUUAAAGCCCCAACGGACCUUAGAGCGUUUUUGCGCUUUUCGCCUUUGAUAACACUGCAACAAACCCAGUGUAAUCCUACAAGUGGGGUCUGGGGAGGGUAGUGUGUAAGCAGACCUUACCCCUACCUUUGUGAAAGUAGAGAGGUUGUUUCUGAUAGACCCUUGGCUAAAGAAACACUAAACAAGAAGCGACCAGCAGUAACAACACAAAGAAAAAAACAAAGACACUAUGUGUACCAAAGAUCUAAAAAUAAGAAAUACAAGAAUACUACUAACAAUACUGGUAAGAAUGACACAAUAUGGAAUAACAAAGAUCAAGGAACACAAAAAUGUAAGAAUAAUACUAAUACUGCAGGUAUGAUUAGGAGAAACUCUCGACUACUUAUCAACCUACAAUCCUUAUUUUCGACCUCCACACCUUCCUAUCGAGGGUCAUGUCCUCGGUAAGCUGAAGCAAUGACAUGUCCUGCCUAAUCACCUCUCCCCAAUACUUUUUUGGCCUACCUCUACCCUUCCUCAAACCCGCCAUGGUCAACUUCUCACACCUCCUAACCGGGGCAUCAAUGCCUCUCCUCAUCACGUGCCCGAACCAUCUCAGCCUCGAUUCCCGCAAUUUCUCUUCCACGAGGGCCACUCCUACCUUGUCCCUAAUAACUUCAUUCCUAAUCUUAUCUUUCCCGGUAUGCCCAUACAUCCACCUCAACAUCCUCAUUUCGGUUACUCAUCUUCUGGACAUGGAAUUUCUUGACUGGCCAACACUCCGCACCAUACAACAUAGUCGGUCUAACUACCGCUCUGUUGAACUUGCCCUUAAGUCUUGGUGGCACAUUCUUAUCACAUAAAAUCUCUCUCGGGAAUGACUUGUGUAUCAAGCUUCAUGUCCACUUCUGCCUCAUGCGUCCCCUCACUGAACUUGCACUCCAAGUAUUCUGUUUUUGUCCUACUCAACUUAAAACCUUUAGACUCCAAGGUAUGUCUCCAAACCUCUAACCUAGCGUUAACUCCAUAGCGUGUCUCGUCAAUCAGCACUAUAUCAUAUGCAAAUAACAUACACCAUGACACGUCCCCUUGGAUUUGUUGCGUCAACACAUCCAUCGCCAGAGCAAAUAAAAAUGGACUAAGAGCCGAUCCCUGAUGUAAUCCCAUCAACACUGGGAAGUGUUUUGAGUCUCCUCCCACAGUCCUUACCCGAGUUUUAGCACCAUCGUACAUAUAUCUAAUCACCCUAGUGUAUGCUACUGGGAUGCCACUAACCAAACAUCUCCAUAAGACCACCCACGGAACUUUGUCGUAGGCUUUCUCUAGGUCAAUUAACACCAUAUGUAAGUCUUUCUUCCUCUCCCUAUACUGCUCCACUAGUCUCCUCACAAGAUGAAUGGCUUCUGUGGUCGACCGUCCCAGCAUGAAUCCGAACUGGUUCUCAGAAAUAGACACACUUCUUCUCGCCCUCCUCUCCGCCUCCCACUCCCAAACUUUCAUAGUGUGACUCAACAACUUGAUACCCCUAUAGUUGUUGCAAUUUCCCCUUUAUUCUUGUACACCGGUACUAUCGAGCUCCACCUCCAUUCAUCGGGCAUCUUCUGCGUCCUAAAAAUGACAUUAAACAAUCCAGUAAGCCACUCCAAACCCGCUUCUUUCCAAAAUUCUACCGGAAUCUCGUCCGGCCCAGUUGCUUUACCCCUACUCAUCUUCUGCAUCACCCACUCAACCUCCUCCACCUUAAAGUGCCUGCAAAAACCAUAAUCUCGUUGGCUCUAUGAGUUCUCCAACUCACCAAGUACGAUGUUCCUGUCACUAUCCUCGUUCAAGAGUUUAUGAAAAUAUGUCUGCCACCUAAGCCUAAUAUACGCCUCAUCCAACAUAUUUUAUCAUUAAUUAGAAGUUUUUUAUAGCCACACAAACUGAAAGCCCCACAAAAGCUUUUAUCCUUAAGCUUUUAAAACCACAAAUUUCAAAAGUUUUUCCUUUUUUUCUUAAACUCCGUACUGAGUCAAACGCAUCACACAAAUUGAAAUGAGGGAGUAACUAUUACUCAUAAGAGAUACUCCCUCCGUCCCAAUUUAUUUCGGACUCUUUCUUUUUUAGUCGAUCUCAAAAGGAAUGUCAUACUUAUUUAGAAACAAUUUAAUUUUAUUUCAUUUUACCCUUAAUGAGAUGAUUUACAGCCAUAUAGAUUUCUAUUGCUUGUUUAGACCACAAGUUUAAAAAGUUCUCUUUUCUUUCUUAAACUCCGUGCCUAAUCAAACACCGCCACAUAAAUUGGGACAGAUAGAGUAACAUAUUUGUUGUACAACAACAACAACAACAAAGACAGUGUAAUCCCAUAUAUGGGGUUUGGGGAGGGUAGUGUGUAAGUAGACCUUACCCCUACGUUAUAAAGAUACAAUGCACAAACCAGACCAAGCUUUAUCUUAACCCUUUUUGCAUGCCUAAAUGAGUUGGAUAUGAGAAGAUAAUUUUGAUGAUUAGUUUGAACUUUGAACAAAAUUGAUGUAACCCUUCGUGUUUUUGGCUAGUGAAGGGGGCAAGCUAGCUACUACUAAUAUUGUCAUGAUUUUCCCAGAACAUUUCCACUAGUGUUUGUAGUUUUUUGCUAGACUUGGUAUUUUGAGCAUUCUAAUAGUGUUUGGCCAAGUAUUUAUUUGGGCCAAAAGUGCUUUUGGCCAAAAAUUGAGGUGUUUGGCUUAGCUUUUAGAAGGAAAAAAGUGCUUUUGAGGAGAAGCAGAAUUUCAAAAGCACUUUUCUGAGAAGCACUUUUGAGAAAAACACUUUGAAGCAGUUUUCAAAAGUUUAGCCAGAUUACUGCUCAAAAGUGCCUUUUAAAUUAAUUAGCCAAACACAAACUGCUUCUCACCAAAAGAACUUUUUUGAAAAGUACUUUUGAGAAAAACACUUCUCAAAAUAAGUUGAUUUUAGAAGUUUGGUCAAACAUGCUAUAAGUGAUGCUCUUAUAGUUGUAUAAUGACUUUAGUCUUUUGUUUUAAUAUAUUAUACUCUAAUCAUUAAUUACCAAAAGUAAAACCUCUUUCUGAUUUUGCUAUCCAUUAUGUAAUCAACUGUAUUACUAAAUUUUACAUAGUUAAUUGUAAUAUUCUCUUCCCUAUACAAAUAUUGUUUGGUCUAGACUAUAAUUUUGUAGAAGCAGUUGUUUGCGACUAUUACGUACCUGAUACAGUCAUUACACUCUUAGGAUGCUCAGAUUACCAAGUCUUAGCCAAAAUAUUGCAAACAUUAGACGAAACACUUCUAGGAAAACUUGUUCCUGCUUUAUUUGCCAUUAACGAAGCAAUAACAAAAUAAAGUGGAACUAGUUCAUGACAAUGUUAAUAUUAGCUAGCUUGGCCUCUUCACUGGCUAAAAACACGAAGGAUUGCAUCAAUUCUUUUCAAACUAAUCAUCUUAAUUAUCUUCUCAUGCAUCUAGAGAUGAUCUAAUUAUCGUUGUUUCAACAUAUGCUAUACACUAAGCACAAGUUAUGUUCACGUCUCUAAUGCCAUGAACAAGAACUUUGGGAAGUAAACGAUUUCGACCUCUAGAAUUGCGAAGCCGAGUUUGAGGUACUUUGUGUAAAUUGCUUGGACCAAGCAUCCUGCUAAGAGCUUCUCGACAUAUCAUCCAUGUGGCUAUACCAUAUGGUCGGUUCAGUAAUCUCUGCAACACCUUGGCUCAUUUUAUGUAGUUACCCAACAACAACAACAACAACAACGACGCAGUGAAAUUCCACGAGUGGGAUUUGGGGAGGGUAGUGUGUACGCAGACCUUAUCCCUACCCCGAGGGGUAGAGAGGCUGUUUCUGAUAGACCCUCGGCUCAAGAAGACGAAAAGAUGACGAAAAGAGAUAAUCUAUCAGUACCAUCAAUAAAACUAUAGAAAACAUAACAGCAUCACAAGAACCAGAAAAUAGAUGAAAAGCAAAACAAUAACCAGUAGAUAAAGUCCGCCACUAAGAGAAACGAAAGAGUGGUGUGAACUCAACAUUAACCACUAGCAGUCUAAGACUAAAUCUUAACAGGCUAGCCUCACUCUGGAGUGCCGUAGAGAUAUGCACAAAUCUCCCCUAACCUACAACCUUAAUGCUCGACCUUCACAACUUCCUGUCUAGGGCCAUGUUCUCGGUAAUUUGAAGCCACGCCAUGUCCUGCCUGAUCACCUCUCCACAGUACUUCUUGCCCCGCCCUCUCUCUCUUCUCGUACCUACCAAAGCCAACCGCUCACACCUCCUUACCGGGACAUCUGGGCUUCUCCUCUGAACGUGCCCGAACCCCAUAUGAGCCUUGCUUCCCGCAGCUUGUCAUCCAUGGGGGCCACACCCACCUUCUCCCGAAUAUCUUCAUUCCUAACCUUAUCCAUCCUAGUGUGCUCGCACAUCCACCUCAAUAUUCUCAUUUUUACUACUUUCAUCUUAUGAAUAUGUGAGUUCUUAACUUGCCAACACUCAGCCCCAUAUGUAGUUACCCAACUUUAGUAAUAAUAUUUCAUAGUUAUAGUUACCCUGGUCAAGACCGGAAGCAUGAGCAACUUCUUUCAAGGUGCUUAUACUCUCAUUGUUAUCCCGGUAAGAAAAGUUAUGUAUUCUAAUCAAUACCAUACUUAAAUUCUGCUCUACUCAACUUUUCAAGAAAGCAAAUUCAACGGUAUCAUUAUGUGGUAAUUUGGCUAGGUUUCUUUCUAAAUUAAGAAAGUGCUAAAAAGAUUUUGAAAACCCAAUGCCUCAAAAUUCCUUACCGCUGCAUUUAUACGACACAGAAUCCGAUCAUAAGUAAUUCACAUAUAUGGUAGGCCAAUAAAUAAAAUGAAAAAGCACGUCUACAGAAUUUACUUUAAAAAUAAUUCACUAAAAGAACAUUACACUGUAGGAAUAUUUGUCAAAUUCAUGUCCAUACUCAUGUUUUUAUCCAUUUCAGUAUAUAAACUAGAUGAUGAAUAGUUCAGUCUAUUGCUUCUUUAAGUCUAGAACUUGUAAAGUGCAAUAAGGUGUAAACUAGAAUGAGUAGGUAAGUUUAAAUUGAUGUAUUUAUGAAAGGUAAGACCUAUUGCUUCUUUAGGUCUAUUUCUUUAUGCCAUUCCUUACACUGACCCAUAAGCUCAUUGUUCAUCUUGAUUUUCUUAUGUAUUGUGUUUACGUAAUUGAUUAAUAGCAUUUCUUUAUAUUUAAUGUUGUUAGUGUGCCCUCUUAUAAUGGCCUUGGUUGAUGCAUCCACCUUCAGGAGUCGAUGGAUCAACGAAGGAAAAUCAUGUGAAUGAGCCUUAGAAUGUCUUUAGUUGACGCCCUAGGAUAUCGCUAAUAGUGGUAGUGCUGAAAAUCUGGUUGAGAAAGUAUGUUCUCACGAUGUGAAACUUAACUGGAGUUGGGGGUUUCUAGCCAUAAUUAAUUCACUUAUUAACGCAUACAAAGAUGAUUAAGAUGAGCUUGGUUUGAUUUGUCCAUUGUUUAUUGUGAUUGAGCUGAAUGUAUACGAGUCAUAGUAUGCGUAAUUACCCAAAUAAGAAAAUACUUAAAAUGUAUAGUUAAUAUACUACAACAACAACAACCUAGUUAAAUCCCACUAGUGGGGUCUGGGGAGGGUAGAGUGUACGCAUAUCUUACCCCUACCCUGGAGGGGUGUACAGUUAAUAUAAUAAGUCUUUUAUAGAGCAUAGAAUAAAUUCCUAUCAAUCUUUAACAUUUACAUAAAUUGAAAAUCUUGGCAUAUGCAUUUCCCAAGGAGAUGUAAACAUGAGGUUUCAGGAUAUUAGAGACUAACAAAGCAUUGUUGGAAGGAAAAGAGAUAGGAGGGCACUUUUGGGGAGAAAGCUCAUAAGGGAGGAAUUGGAAGGACAAAAAUUAACUGUGUAAUAUUCUUCCUAAUGCACCUUGAAGAUACAAGUUGACCCGUUUCAAUUUAUAUGAGGUAGUUUGAUUUUGCAUGGAGUUUAAGGAAAAAAAAAAAGACUUUUGAAUCUCGUGGUCCUAAAAGCUUUGUGGGGUCAUGAUAUUUGUGUGGCUAUAAAAGUUUCUCAAUAGGGGAAAAAUAGGUAAAAAUAAAAAGUUUAAAGUUAAAUUGUUUUCAAAAGUUUAAAGUUAAAUUUAUUAAUAUAUUGGAUAUGUUACCAUCUCAAAAAAAAAAAAUUAUUUUCAAAUAUAAAAAUGUAUCAUUCUUUUUGAAACAAAGUAGUAAGUAAAGUGUGUCAUAUAAAUUGAAACGGAGGGAGUAAUAUAUAACUUCAGGGAAUGGGAACUCAACGAUUGAGUAGUCAGUCAUUACCAAGCAAUUUAGCGAGGAGGAGAAUUACAGGCCAACCCUGGAUAAAGUAACAUUUCAGAGGAUUAGUAGGGAUGAAAGCGUAGCAUUUGAUAGACCUUUGAUAAAGAAGAGAGUUGAUGCAGGGACUAGCGAGGUCAGUAAGGUUCUGGGUUGUUAUGGGUUUAUGAUGGUCUUUUUCCUUCGUUUCUGGGAAUUAAUGGACAAUGAUGUGAUAGGAUGCGUUCAUUAUUUUUAUGUAUGGUACUUUUGAGAAAGGUUAUACUCAUUUCAUUUUGCUCAUUUGGAAGAUUGAGCCAAGGACAUAUAAAGAGUCUUUGCAUCUAUUAUUUUCAUGAAUGGUACUUUUUAGAAGAGUGUUAGCUCAUUUUCAUUUUGCUCUAUUGGAAGAAUGGGGCCAAGGAGAUAUAAAGAGUCUUGCUCUGUUAGUUUGGUAGAGAAUGUCUAUAAAAUAUUGUUGUUUUAACAAAAAAGGAGUCUAUUAAGUAAUUGCUUAUGUUCCUAUAGAGGAGGUUAAAAGCAAUUGGGAAUUUGUGUAAGUUGGACUCAUGCUUACUGCAAUUGUGAAUUUUUUUUGAUACAUUUGCUUGAGAGGAUGGAUUUUGAACAUACCCAGAAACAUGAACAUGGAUACACAUUUCAUAUCUAAUCAUUAGAAAAGACGAUACUUAUCGAAAAGGUUUAUUUUGUGCCUCACACAACUGAAACUAGUUGUGUGAGUCUUUUUUUUGUCUCAUAAGUUGGUGGACCUAAACCUUACACUUUUCGGUCUACAAACUUUGGGUCCACCAACUUGUGAGACAAAAAGAAGCCUCACACAAUUAAUGUCGGUUGUGUGAGGCACAAAGUAAAUUUUUUCAUACUUAUCACCAUUGCGCCCUAGGAUGUGACCUAGUGGUCAAUGAAGCUAGAAUGAACCAUGGGAGACCAGAGUUCAAAUCCUAGCCGAGCGAAGAAGAAAUCGUUAAGUGAUUUCUUCCCAUUUGUCCGAGUCUUAGUAGAUAGAAUUAUUCGUUACCUAUGAUUUUAAGAGGUAGCAGAUACAGUGAUUUAAUGAAGGUGCACACAGGUGCCUAGAUAUCACCAUUACUAAAAUAAAAAGUAAAAAAUGACAUUGUUGAAAUUAAUCCUUUUCAAAGCAUGCCCAGGAGGAUGAUGAAAGAAUUUUUGUGGAGCGGGAAGAAAGGAAGAAUAAGUACCACUUGGUAGAUUGGAAAAAAAAAAUUAGCAUUCGUAGCAAUGGGUGGGGGCAAGAGAUACGAACAUUGUCCAUAUUUCAAUAGGACAUCUUUAGAGGAAUAGUUGGGAAAUUUGAACAUAAGAGAACAUAUUAUGGCGGAUAGUGAUGACGACUAAAUGUGGGAGGUCGAAUGAAGGUUGGUUUUUGGGAAGGUAAGAACUACAUAUGAAUUGAACUUGAGGAAAUGGAUCAUGACGGAAAAGGAAAAUUUUACCAGAUUUGUUGCUUAAAACAUCAAUAACAGCACCAAGAUAUGUUUUUUGGCGGGAGUAAAGCUGUGAGGGACAAUUUUAUUGGAGGCCUUUCCAUGGGGUGUGCUAUGGUGUAUGGAAAGAGACGACAGUGGCAUGAUUAUUCAUAUCUCUGUAUAUUUCAAUUUAUCAAUUGCUUUUAAAGGAUUUAAAAUAACAAAAGUAUUUGCUUUAAAAAAAUUUGUAUAAUCUAUGCCUAGGACACCAUUUAUCGAACCAUGAAUGAAGUAAAGCAUGAGAGAAAGCAUAUCGGCUAGUGAUGUGAGGUCCCAAUUCUUGACUGGUGGGGACACCAAAGGCAUAUGCCCUUCCAUCCCUGCCAUCUUUUUUUGAAUAAGCCUAGGUCAUAUCUUUAAAAGAUUUAGUUUCUUCUCUUUCUAAGCAAUUUGGAUAAAUAAUUUGACCUUCACAAUAUUUUUAGGUAACUAAGUUUAGGAUUUUUCUUGCAAGUUUAGUUUGUUUGGUGCAUUAUCUUUUUCCUCUUGAAGAUAAAUAUUUUUAAAAAUUUAUUACUUUAGUAAAUACUUUAUUACAUCACAACCAAUUUAUCUUUUGCCAGUCAAUCUUUUAAACUAUUUGGUUAUCCUUUUCUUGACAGGAGGUUUUUUUUGGGGGGGGUGGGUGGGUGGGUAAAUAAAGUUCUGUUGUACCUGCAUCAAUUUUGAUAUGGUAUGCCCCAUCACUAGGGGAGGGCAUAGUUUUGGCAAAACACUAAUUCUAUAAUUUCAGAUUUUGGUUUGGUGUUUUGGAAUUACGGUUUGGAUUUUCGAAUAUCUGACUUCAUACUUUAUGUUUGGCCCUACCAAUUCGACAUUUGUCCAUUCCUAAGCCCAAUAGUAAAUUAAAUCAGACAACCACCGAAAAGGAGAAUAGGGUUUCAAAGUAUAACCAAGUAUAUUAUUCUUUUCUAGUUUCUACACGGUACUCACCACACUCGCUGCUUUCUGAAGUUGAGUAGCUAAAGUGAACCACUUUUGUUGGUCUCACAUACUUUUUGGUGUUACUCGAAAAAGUGGAGCACUCCGUAUCUAUUAGUGACUCAUCUGCUGCUAUUGUAAACAAAUUCAAGCUGACCAGUGGCAUAUUUCAAAGGUUUCAUGGUUGAACGGGCAUUUAAUGCCUAAAAAUCCUAACGAUAUAUUACUUUGUUUUUUUUCUUUUCUUAUUGUAAUACUUUUUCUUAUAUCAAGGGUUUGCAUUUGUACUUUUUUUUAAGAACCGUAGUAUCCGGGUCAGCUUGCGCUUACCUCGACUAAUUCCAUGGGAUACCUGCUACCUCCCACCAACAUCAGGUACCAGGUAACUCUAUAUACCAAGGCUUGGAUAGAUGGAAAGAAAUCACCUAGUGUUUUUGCGUCCGCUGAGAUUUGAAUAUGAGAUCCUACCCACUUCAUUGACCACUAGGCAAUACUUUUGGGUGGUUUGCAUUUGUACUUAUAGUUGUCAAAUGAUUAUGGUGGGAGUGUGGAAUUAUUAAGGCACUUGGCAAGGAUACUUUAUUUGGGCAUUCACUUUUGUAGGAAGAAAUCCAACUUAUAGGCUCAAAACUGAAAAUCCGAAAUAACCAAUCCGAAUAAUUUGAAACCGAACUUUAAAGCACCUAAUGAAUCCGAGCUUAUGUAGUUUGGGUUUGGUCUUAAUUUCUAAAAUCCGAAAAUUGAAAAUCCAAACUGAAGUUUUCAUAAUCCAAUCCGACCCCACCCUACCCAUCACUCCUAAAACCCUUGCCAAGGAGUCAACUGACUUUUUCCCACUUUGCUACCUUAGCACUCUAACAGGCAACAUCAAGGUUAGAGGUAGAGAAUCCUUUCACUUGGUUAUUUCCUACUUGUCAAAAUAUAUCUUGCAUUCUACUAUGCAUUUCCAUUAAAGUUUUCAGUAGAAAGGCUAUAAAGUGGAUUACUUGUUAAAUUAUUGAAAGAGAAUUAACUGCAGUAUAAAAAGACACAAGAACUUAAAGCCACUAGUUAUUAUUCAUACCGAUUUAUCCACAUAGAUGGAAGUGGAUUGUUUAUUGAGGAGAUGUUGCUUUCACGACUUGACUGUUUAUUUCUACUUCAUAUGGUUCUUACUGCUAAUUAUCCUUGGUAUAAAUCACAGGUUGCUGGAAGUAGGGCAAGAUUUCAGGAUCCUCGUUCUAUCAAUCCUGGAUUUAUUGAUGAUAUUCGGGGGACUUCGGAUUAUAUGAAUGCUGGGCACAAUGUUUUUCCUGGGUCUUCAGAGAAUUUGAAUGCGGGGCGCCCUACUUUUCAAGGAUAUGGGUCUCCUGCUGGACAGAGCAGCAAUAUUCAGCAAGGCGCUUACCACCAGAGUUAUCCUGCUCAACAAAGUGCAUAUCAAAGUUACACAGCUAAAAGUGGCUAUCCUAGUGGUAGUCCUUCCCAAUUGCCUUACCAAAACUAUAAUCCUCAUCAAGCUCCAUAUCAGAGCAUGAACUCACAGCAGCAGCCGCAGCCGCAGCCGCAGCAGCAGUAUCAGCAGCAGCCGUCAUACCAGAACAUGACUGCACAAGGUUCCUACCAUUAUUGAUGCUAGAUACUAAGUUCCUCAAAAUACUUAUGGUAGGUUUUAGUCAGUCUUGUACCCUAAUUUAAUCUCAUGUUGUGCUAUACUUGUUUCUGAAAGUGUUACUAAAAGUAAUUUAACUGCUUGCAUUCUAUGGAACUUCCCCCACCCCCUUAGUGCAUUGGUUAAGAGUAGCGUAUUAUGGUUGGAGAGGUUAAGUAGUUAAAGGUUUGGCAAAUUUUCAGAGAUCUCGCUUCAGUUUAACUCUGUAACAUUUAACUUCCUUGUGGCUUACGGUAAUACACUGAACUCCCUUAUAUAGAUUUCUUUGUAAUGAGAUUGUUACUCUUUAGAAUUUGUUUAUUCUACAUAUAUAAAUCGAUUGAUUUACCUUGCUCUUUAAAA